Zingiber officinale is the source of this 1422-nucleotide RNA transcript. It is a transcript of the gene named chlorophyll(ide) b reductase NOL, chloroplastic-like, with no coding region annotated. The transcript is spliced from 14 exons. Lineage: Eukaryota; Viridiplantae; Streptophyta; Magnoliopsida; Zingiberales; Zingiberaceae. The record is from RefSeq and is a predicted model, not a curated record.
GGAAAUUUAAGAUGAGGACACAAUUGCAAAUUUUAUCUUUCCGAGAGGAUAGAUACGACAAACUUUAUUUUGGAAGGGAUAUCCGUGCAAAUUUGCCUAACCAUAUUGAGAAGCAACCCGCUCUAAUCCACAAACCUCUUCUUCUUCUUCUUCUUCUUCUUCGAUGGCUUCCGUCGCUUUACCUGCCAUCUCCAGCUACACCGCACUCCCUCGCAUCCUCGUCGGAGGUAGGUUCAAUUCGACCUCAGGACCGGUCGGUGGAGGAAGCCUCGUCCGUCGUUCCCUCCCUUACCUCUGCAGUGCCAGGAAACUCAAAACAUUCCGGGCGGAAUCCCCUGAUGUCAGGAAGAGGGAACGAGAACCAAUGUUGCCUCCUUAUAAUGUGCUCAUCACCGGUUCCACUAAAGGAAUUGGAUAUGCACUUGCGAGGGAAUUUUUAAAGGCGGGUGAUAAUGUUUUAAUAUGCUCAAGAUCAGCUGAACGUGUGGAAUCAGUGCUCCGGGACUUGAGAAAGGAAUUCGGAGAGCGAGUGUGGGGAACUGUAUGUGAUGUUAGAGAAGGAAAGGAUGUCAAAGCGUUGGUUUCUUUUGCGCAUGAAACUCUAGGAUAUAUUGACAUAUGGAUUAAUAAUGCUGGAUCAAAUGCAUACAGUUACAAACCAUUGGCUGAAACAUCUGAUGACGAUCUUCUGGAAGUUGUAACCACAAAUACACUGGGUUUGAUGAUUUGUUGUCGUGAGGCAAUAAAUAUGAUGUUUGACCAGCCUCGAGGUGGUCAUAUAUUUAACAUUGAUGGAGCGGGUUCAGAUGGAAGACCAACACCAAGAUUUGCUGCUUAUGGGGCAACCAAGCGAAGUGUUGUGCAUCUCACCAAGUCCUUGCAGGCAGAGUUGCAGAUGCAUGAAGUGAAAAACGUUAUGGUGCACAACUUAUCGCCUGGUAUGGUCACUACGGAUCUUCUUAUGUCGGGAGCCAUUACUAAACAAGCCAAAUUUUUUAUCAAUAUACUAGCUGAGCCUCCUGAAGUGAUCUAUCCCUGGCAGUCAAUCCAUGAAGCCCACAUACAUUAGAUUUCUCACAGGCUUCAAAGCUUACUCCCAGAUUUUUUCAAGACUUGCUUUCGGCGCUCGGCGAAACAGAUACCUUAUUGAAGAUUGAUCGGUCUGGCCAUUUUGCAGGUGCUCUUGUUGUUCCACUAGUGUCAGUAAUGAAAGAAAAACCCACAGGCUUCUGUAUGGUCUACGCAGCAGAAUGCACCAAUCUCGUUUAGUUGUACUGCCUAACUUUCAACUUAGCUAAAUAUUUUAGUUCCCUGUGCAGAAACAUUGUAAAUAUGUUUUUUGAUUUCUCUCUACUUCUGCUUAUCUACGUUCAUACUUCAGGAAUUCUAAUUUAAAAAGAACAAAUGAGAGUUGGAACUAAA